This 1184-nucleotide long non-coding RNA is filed under the name Marmota monax (woodchuck). Lineage: Eukaryota; Metazoa; Chordata; Mammalia; Rodentia; Sciuridae. The record is from RNAcentral.
UCCCGGGGCGCACGGGCCAGAGAGGCCCCUAUUGUUGCUGUGUCAUAGGGGAGCGGCGGCGGCCCCUGGCGGCGGCGCCGGGAACGGCGGGCCGCGAACCCUGGGCACCGCGUCCUCACCCCGGGAGAGCCUCACCCCGGGAGCCGGUGGCUCUGCGCCGCUCUCCGGGCCGCCCGCGUGCGGGUGCGCCCAGCUGUGCGGGCCUGGGGCAGGUGUCGGCAGCGGCCACCAGCCGACCCUGCGGAGCCACCGCGCCAGGCCCGCAGGAAGCCAGCCCGACCCUCGUGCGUCCUGAGCGACGUUCCAGGGCCUUGGACCCAGGAGGCGCGGGUGUCACAACGGCCGCACGGUGGCCUGAGCCGUGGCGGCCGAUGGCCCGGGUGCCCUGGAGGGGGCGGCGCGCCUUUCCGCGGCCCGAGCGCCCCGCCGUGCCGCCCUCCGCUCCUGCCAUGGACAGCGGGCGCGGGGCCCUGCGAGGGAGACCUGUAAGCUGACCUGGCUCCAAAAAGAGCCCAAGCGGGACGUGGCUGUGCGGGCAGCGCCCUGGUUCAGUCCCCGGCGCGGAAAGAAGGAUCCGUACAGAGUGGCCAGUGCCCUUCCCAGCCCGGCCUCCGCUUAUCCUCGACACUGCCCGGAGUCGGUGGCGCCCGGUGCCACCUGUCACUUUCUGGGUGUGCCUGUGUGACACUUGUAUGUUCUUCAGCUUUUCCUGAAAAGUACUGAUCCACUCGACGUUGCUUCCGAGCUGUGUCCACCUCACACGGUGUUCUGCUGCGGGAAGCGCACCUCCUUCUCCGGUCUUGGUGAACACAGGCAUUUGCUUCGUUUUUUUACUACAGUGUUCCAAUUUUAGAUCGAAAUUUAACUGAUCUAAAUAUUCACUAUUUUUUGUCUGAGAAAAUAGCUGUUUUCGUUAUUAUGAUUAUUAUUAUUGUACUUGGGAUUGAACCCAGGGGUGCCUUACCACUGAGCCACAUCCCCUAUUUUGAGACAGGAUCUUCCUAAAUUGCUUAGGGCCUCACUAAAUUGCUGAGGCUGGCCUCAAAUUUGUAAUCCUUUUGCCACAGUCUCCUGCUUCCCUAGGAUUCCAUCCUGUGCUAUCAUGCCUGACUUCACUCAAGUUUAGCUUAGACUCACCAGAGGUGGGUCUGUGGUCUGGAUUGCCUGCAAUGCUGAAUAUCUCC